This is a long non-coding RNA of Venturia canescens, 1432 nucleotides long. RefSeq lists it as uncharacterized. The record is from RefSeq and is a predicted model, not a curated record. The transcript has 3 exons. NCBI's taxonomy places the organism in Eukaryota, Metazoa, Arthropoda, Insecta, Hymenoptera, Ichneumonidae.
AUAAAAAUUCAAUCGGAUUAUACCACCGAACAAUUGAAUCGGCUGAGAUUUUUACUGAAUUCAGACGAAGAGAAAAUGUAUUUUCGAACAAAUCGGUGUACCGUUCGUCAAUAAAUUAUAUGAUUUACGAUAGAAUGUGAAGGAAGCGCGACCAAGAUUAUUUCGUAUAACACGCAAGAUCUAUCGAGCCUCGUAAUUAAUUUUUAUCCCCCCUCCACGUUGUUAUCGUGCACGGGGGUUCCCUCUCGUCUCUCUCACUCUCAUUCGUUUUCAUAAUCCGUAACGAAAGUUCUGAUCAACAAAUUGUUUCAAUUCGAUAACGCAGGAAGGAGACAAAGUUCUUCAAUUUUAUUACGUAUCUCCAAUUUUUUUCGACAACAAAUUGUCCUGCGAUAAGAAAUCGAAAAAUGUUACAAUUGUUUACUAUAAAAGAAUGCUGGACCGUGCACAUUCCUCGUGAAUGGGAUCACCAUUCACAGAAAAAAUAAAUAGUUGACACUUUUUAACGAUGCAAACUUCGUGCCAUCGAUUUUUUACUUACAGGAGAGAAUUUUUUUCUCGGCGGCUCUCAGCAUCGUUGCUGAAGACCCCGACCAGCUCAGCCAACCCCAGAACCAACUGAAAAAAUUCCAUAAGUCAAUUUCGAAGGAAGAAACUCAGGAUUCGAUGCAUCCGAAUACCAGGCGAGGAAAAUCGCUGUUUCAUUGGAUUUUAAAAUAUACAAAAAUACGUUGAAGACGAAAUAAGAAAUAAAAAAGAAAAUAGAUAAACGAAUUAAAACUUAUUUAACGUGAAAUAACGCGAAGAAGAGGUUUACGAUUACAAAACCACUAGCGAAAGAUAAGAGCUCCGAGCGAUAAACUAGAUGAAGAUUCAAGGCCGAAAGCGAACACAACGUCGAGCCCCGGAGAAAGGGAAUAACAUUUUAAAAUGUCGCGACCCCCAAACAGUGAUGGUCAGUAAUGGAGAUAGCACCAACUAUCGAUGUACGAAUUUAAAAAAUGAACGACUGACAAAUAGUCGAUUUGUUAUGAAGCGACGACGCGAAUAAAAUCACCAUCCGUAUUUUUUCUUUCGCAUUUUUCACAUCGAUGAACACGUGUGAGACGAGGACAUGAAUUUUCGAAUACAUCAUUUGUAAGUUUGAAAGAUGUUACGCAAGUUGGUGAAAAAAUGUUCGAAAAUAGCUUGUCAAAUUCAAAUAAACGUGCAAAGUGCCACAAAUUGGAUGUUGAAUAUUUAAUAAUUAACAAUUCGAAGGAAAAAUUAUAUUCGUGUGUUAAAAAGAUUAUAAAAAAAAAAAUAAUUGAGCAGAAGACUGUGACCGAGGUGAAAAUAACAAUAGUGAUAAUAACAACAAUAAUAAAUGCAAGAUUCCCAAAGGAAAUAUAUAAACAUGUGAGUAAAUAAAAAAUGAAAUAUAACCUAUCAU